GCCCGCCUAGCUCAAUCGGAUAGAGCGUCAGACUCUUAUCAUAUCGACAGGCAGGGUCGAGUUCGACCCUCGCGGUGGGCU
Cerioporus squamosus is the source of this 81-nucleotide non-coding RNA. The record is from the annotation of a GenBank genome assembly. NCBI's taxonomy places the organism in Eukaryota, Fungi, Basidiomycota, Agaricomycetes, Polyporales, Polyporaceae.